UUGAUAGUCUAAAAGGAUGAUUGUGCCUAUUAUAUUUCAUCUAUCUGUUCUCUCACCAGGCUCAUCUUCCAGACUGAACCUUACUUUUGAUGAUUGCUACCUGCAGAAUUUUGACCAACUCAUUUAACUUUCUGGAUCCUAAAUCUUGGUCUCUUUCCUCAUCUGUAAAAUUGGAGACAAGACAUGGCCAAGAAAGCAACAAAGUCUGACAUUCAGAGAUGAAUGGGCCUGUAUCUUUGGGCUGAACCAAGAAGAGGCACACCACACCAGAUUGGGCUGAACAAGCUCCUCUCUCCUCCAACACCAGGAAGGAAGGCCAGUCCGGCAGGAAGGAAGCGCUAAUCACAAGACCCAACUGCCACUCUCAGUUGCCCCUUCCCCCACAAACUGUCAGUCUUAUUUCCUUUCCACAUUUGCUUAUGAGAAUGAUUAUUCAUUGAAUGGAAGAAAGGAUGGACAGAUCAAUUGAUACAAUGAAGGCACUCAGAGAAAGGCCACAGGUCACAGUCCUGGGUCUUGAUCCCAGUGUAAGAAGGAACACUAGCACACACCAGUGCCUGGGAGGAUGGGACCCUGAUCAUAGUUCCAAGGAAGAAAAGAGUGGAUGCUCAUAGACCAAAAGCAGACCAAGAGAAUAUUAAACAUAUGUCCCCUUGCAUCAUACCAUAUUGAAACAAUCUUAUAGAUCCCCAGAGGAAAUUAUGCCUUAAAAUAAUAAUUGGACAAAUGGAAGCUAAUGACUCCAUGAGACAUCAAGAAACAAUCAAUCAGAGUCAAAAGAAUGAAAAAAAAAAUACAUGAAAGUACAAAAUACGUAAUUGACAAAACAAAUGACAUGGAAAAUAAGUCAGGAGAGAGAAUGUAAGAAUUGUUGGACUACCUUGGAAACCAUUUUCAAAAAAAAUGACUAGACAUCAUCUUUCAAGAAAUUAUCAAGGAAAACUUCCUUGACAUUCUAGAACCAGAAGAUAAAAUAGAAAUGGAAAGCACCCAUCAAUCACCUCUUCAAAGAGAUUCUAAAAGUAUACUGCCCAGAAAUAUUAUAGCUAAAUUCCCAAAUUCUCAAGUCAAGAAUAAAAUACUAAAGCAGCCAAAAAGAAAUUCA
RNAcentral lists this long non-coding RNA (1105 nucleotides) under Monodelphis domestica (gray short-tailed opossum). RNAcentral's name for it is "lncRNA (ENSMODG00000045106.1)". The record is from RNAcentral. Lineage: Eukaryota; Metazoa; Chordata; Mammalia; Didelphimorphia; Didelphidae.